AGCAGCCGCCGCGGUAAUACGUAGGGUGCAAGCGUUAACCGGAAUUACUGGGCGUAAAGCGUGCGCAGGCGGUUUGUUAAGACAGAUGUGAAAUCCCCGGGCUCAACCUGGGAACUGCAUUUGUGACUGGCAAGCUAGAGUCUGGCAGAGGGGGGUGGAAUUCCGCGUGUAGCAGUGAAAUGCGUAGAUAUGCGGAGGAACACCGAUGGCGAAGGCAGCUCCCUGGGCCAACACUGACGCUCAUGCACGAAAGCGUGGGGAGCAAACAGGAUUAGAUACCCCCGUAGUCCCUGUCUCUUAUAC
RNAcentral lists this ribosomal RNA (303 nucleotides) under uncultured bacterium. RNAcentral describes it as "partial 16S ribosomal RNA". It matches the Rfam family "Bacterial small subunit ribosomal RNA", at positions 507 to 807 of the family's 1533-position model. The record is from RNAcentral.